This 73-nucleotide transfer RNA is filed under the name Candidatus Carsonella ruddii. Its description in RNAcentral is "tRNA-Met". It matches the Rfam family "tRNA". Rfam says of the family: Transfer RNA (tRNA) molecules are approximately 80 nucleotides in length. Their secondary structure includes four short double-helical elements and three loops (D, anti-codon, and T loops). Further hydrogen bonds mediate the characteristic L-shaped molecular structure. tRNAs have two regions of fundamental functional importance: the anti-codon, which is responsible for specific mRNA codon recognition, and the 3' end, to which the tRNAs corresponding amino acid is attached (by aminoacyl-tRNA synthetases). tRNAs cope with the degeneracy of the genetic code in two manners: having more than one tRNA (with a specific anti-codon) for a particular amino acid; and 'wobble' base-pairing, i.e. permitting non-standard base-pairing at the 3rd anti-codon position. The record is from RNAcentral. RNAcentral also lists the same sequence under 3 other names. Lineage: Bacteria; Pseudomonadati; Pseudomonadota; Gammaproteobacteria; Oceanospirillales; Halomonadaceae.
GGUUAUAUAGCUUAGUUGGUAGAGCAAAUCAUUCAUGAUGAUUAGGUCUCCUGUUCGAAUCAGGAUAUAACUA